This 493-nucleotide ribosomal RNA is filed under the name uncultured bacterium. RNAcentral describes it as "partial 16S ribosomal RNA". It matches the Rfam family "Bacterial small subunit ribosomal RNA", at positions 29 to 523 of the family's 1533-position model. The record is from RNAcentral.
AUUGAACGCUGGCGGCAUGCUUUACACAUGCAAGUCGAACGGUAACAGGUUAAGCUGACGAGUGGCGAACGGGUGAGUAAUGCAUCGGAACGUGCCCGGUCGUGGGGGAUAACGCAGCGAAAGCUGCGCUAAUACCGCAUACGAUCUGAGGAUGAAAGCGGGGGACCGUAAGGCCUCGCGCGAUCGGAGCGGCCGAUGUCAGAUUAGGUAGUUGGUGGGGUAAAGGCUCACCAAGCCGACGAUCUGUAGCUGGUCUGAGAGGACGACCAGCCACACUGGGACUGAGACACGGCCCAGACUACUACGGGAGGCAGCAGUGGGGAAUUUUGGACAAUGGGCGCAAGCCUGAUCCAGCAAUGCCGCGUGCAGGAAGAAGGCCUUCGGGUUGUAAACUGCUUUUGUACGGAGCGAAAAGGCUCUCUCUAAUACGGGGGGCUCAUGACGGUACCGUAAGAAUAAGCACCGGCUAACUACGUGCCAGCCGCCGCAGUAA